UACGGAGGGUGCAAGCGUUAUCCGGACUCACUGGGUUAAAGGGUGCGUAGGUGGGCAAGUAAGUCAGUGGUGAAAUCUCCGGGCUUAACCCGGAAACUGCCAUUGAUACUAUUUGUCUUGAAUACUGUGGAGGUCAGCGGAAUAUGUCAUGUAGCGGUGAAAUGCUUAGAUAUGACAUAGAACACCAAUUGCGAAGGCAGCUGGCUACACAAAUAUUGACACUGAGGCACGAAAGCGUGGGGAUCAAACAGG
This 252-nucleotide ribosomal RNA is filed under the name uncultured bacterium. Its description in RNAcentral is "partial 16S ribosomal RNA". It matches the Rfam family "Bacterial small subunit ribosomal RNA", at positions 524 to 776 of the family's 1533-position model. The record is from RNAcentral.